GACGAACGCUGGCGGCGUGCUUAACACAUGCAAGUCGAACGGAAAGGCCCUGCUUUUGUGGGGUGCUCGAGUGGCGAACGGGCGAGUAACACGUGAGUAACCUGCCCUUGACUUUGGGAUAACUUCAGGAAACUGGGGCUAAUACCGGAUAGGAGCUCCUGCUGCAUGGUGGGGGUUGGAAAGUUUCGGCGGUUGGGGAUGAACUCGCGGCUUAUCAGCUUGUUGGUGGGGUAGUGGCUUACCAAGGCUUUGACGGGUAGCCGGCCUGAGAGGGUGACCGGCCACAUUGGGACUGAGAUACGGCCCAGACUCCUACGGGAGGCAGCAGUGGGGAAUAUUGCACAAUGGGCGGAAGCCUGAUGCAGCAACGCCGCGUGCGGGAUGAAGGCCUUCGGGUUGUAAACCGCUUUCGCCUGUGACGAAGCGUGAGUGACGGUAAUGGGUAAAGAAGCACCGGCUAACUACGUG
RNAcentral lists this ribosomal RNA (468 nucleotides) under uncultured bacterium. RNAcentral's name for it is "partial 16S ribosomal RNA". It matches the Rfam family "Bacterial small subunit ribosomal RNA", at positions 28 to 507 of the family's 1533-position model. The record is from RNAcentral.